AAGGGAGACCUAAUUCGGGUAUAAGACGAAAAAAUAGUAGUCGAAACCAAGAAUCAAUCCCAAAAGGUCGGAACGAGGUAUGUGGCUUUCAAACUAGGUUCUGGGUUCACAAAAGACCUGAAUCAGGAACAAGGGCUAUUAGCUCAGGUGGUUAGAGCGCACCCCUGAUAAGGGUGAGGUCCCUGGUUCGAGUCCAGGAUGGCCCACCUGCACAGGUGGCAAAAACAAAGAAAAAAAGCGAGGAAUCAGCACCUGAUCUUACUUGUACAGUAAGAGAGAAUGCUGGCUCUGAGUAAAGAGUCCAGAGGAACCUUGAAAACUGCAUAGAGCUAGGUGAAAAAGCCAAAAAAGAAGACCGCAA
Molecule: transfer RNA, 361 nt
Filed under: Microcystis aeruginosa MP06B5
Lineage: Bacteria; Bacillati; Cyanobacteriota; Cyanophyceae; Chroococcales; Microcystaceae
Description: partial 16S-23S ribosomal RNA intergenic spacer
Rfam family: tRNA (bases 133-206)
Source: RNAcentral